UACGUAGGUGGCAAGCGUUGUCCGGAUUUACUGGGCGUAAAGGAUGCGUAGGUGGAUAUUUAAGUGGGAUGUGAAAUACCCGGGCUUAACCUGGGUGCUGCAUUCCAAACUGGAUAUCUAGAGUGCAGGAGAGGUAAGUGGAAUUCCUAGUGUAGCGGUGAAAUGCGUAGAGAUUAGGAAGAACACCAGUGGCGAAGGCGACUUACUGGACUGUAACUGACACUGAGGCAUGAAAGCGUGGGGAGCAAACAGGAUUAGAUACCCUGGUAGUCCACGCCGUAAACGAUGGGUACUAGGUGUGGGAGUUGUCAUGACUUCCGUGCCGCCGUUAACACAAUAAGUACCCCGCCUGGGGAGUACGGUCGCAAGAUUAAA
Molecule: ribosomal RNA, 375 nt
Filed under: uncultured bacterium
Lineage: Bacteria
Description: bacterial SSU rRNA
Rfam family: Bacterial small subunit ribosomal RNA
Source: RNAcentral